This 274-nucleotide ribosomal RNA is filed under the name uncultured bacterium. RNAcentral describes it as "partial 16S ribosomal RNA". It matches the Rfam family "Bacterial small subunit ribosomal RNA", at positions 523 to 796 of the family's 1533-position model. The record is from RNAcentral.
AUACGGGGGGUGCAAGCGUUAAUCGGAAUUACUGGGCGUGAAGCGCGCGUAGGCGGUUUGCUCAGUCGGAUGUGAAAGCCCAGGGCUCAACCUUGGAACUGCAUACGAUACUGGCAAACUAGAGUGUGAGAGAGGAUAGUGGAAUUUCCGGUGUAGCGGUGAAAUGCGUAGAUAUCGGAAGGAACAUCAGUGGCGAAGGCGACUGUCUGGCUCAACACUGACGCUGAGGUGCGAAAGCGUGGGUAGCAAACAGGAUUAGAAACCCUAGUAGUCC